GAUGAACGCUGGCGGCGUGCCUAAUACAUGCAAGUCGAGCGAACAGACGAGGAGCUUGCUCCUCUGACGUUAGCGGCGGACGGGUGAGUAACACGUGGAUAACCUACCUAUAAGACUGGGAUAACUUCGGGAAACCGGAGCUAAUACCGGAUAAUAUAUUGAACCGAAUGGUUCAAUAGUGAAAGACGGUUUUGCUGUCACUUAUAGAUGGAUCCGCCACGCAUUAGCUAGUUGGUAAGGUAACGGCUUCCCAAGGCAACGAUGCGGAGCCGACCUGUGAGGGUGAUCUGCCACACUGGAACGGAGACACGGUCCAGACUCUUACGGAAGGCAGCAGUAGAGAAUCUUCCGCAAUGGGCGAAAGCCUGACGGAGAAACGCAGCGUGAGUGAUGAAGGUCUUCGGAACGUAAAACUCUGUUAUUAGGGAAGAACAAAUGUGUAAGUAACUAUGAACGUCUUGACGGUACCUACUCAGAAAGCCACGGGUAACUACGAG
Molecule: ribosomal RNA, 497 nt
Filed under: uncultured bacterium
Lineage: Bacteria
Description: partial 16S ribosomal RNA
Rfam family: Bacterial small subunit ribosomal RNA
Source: RNAcentral